UGGGGAAUCUUGCACAAUGGAGGAAACUCUGAUGCAGCGACGCCGCGUGAACGAUGAAGCCCUUCGGGGUGUAAAGUUCUUUCGUCAGGAACGAUAAUGACGGUACCUGGAGAAGAAGCUGCGGCUAACUACGUGCCAGCAGCCGCGGUAAUACGUAGGCAGCAAGCGUUGUUCGGAAUUAUUGGGCGUAAAGAGUAUGUAGGUGGUGUCGUAAGUUUGGUGUGAAAUCUCCUGGCUUAACUGGGAGGGUGCGCCGAAGACUGCGAUGCUGGAGUAUGGGAGAGGGAAUCGGAAUUCCUGGUGUAGCGGUGAAAUGCGUAGAUAUCAGGAGGAACACCUGUGGUGUAGACGGGUUCCUGGACCAUUACUGACACUGAGAUACGAAAGCGUGGGUAGCAAACAGG
This 404-nucleotide ribosomal RNA is filed under the name uncultured bacterium. RNAcentral's name for it is "bacterial SSU rRNA". It matches the Rfam family "Bacterial small subunit ribosomal RNA", at positions 355 to 776 of the family's 1533-position model. The record is from RNAcentral.